This 638-nucleotide ribosomal RNA is filed under the name Escherichia coli. RNAcentral's name for it is "partial 23S ribosomal RNA". It matches the Rfam family "Bacterial large subunit ribosomal RNA", at positions 592 to 1230 of the family's 2925-position model. The record is from RNAcentral. Lineage: Bacteria; Pseudomonadati; Pseudomonadota; Gammaproteobacteria; Enterobacterales; Enterobacteriaceae.
UGUGACUGCGUACCUUUUGUAUAAUGGGUCAGCGACUUAUAUUCUGUAGCAAGGUUAACCGAAUAGGGGAGCCGAAGGGAAACCGAGUCUUAACUGGGCGUUAAGUUGCAGGGUAUAGACCCGAAACCCGGUGAUCUAGCCAUGGGCAGGUUGAAGGUUGGGUAACACUAACUGGAGGACCGAACCGACUAAUGUUGAAAAAUUAGCGGAUGACUUGUGGCUGGGGGUGAAAGGCCAAUCAAACCGGGAGAUAGCUGGUUCUCCCCGAAAGCUAUUUAGGUAGCGCCUCGUGAAUUCAUCUCCGGGGGUAGAGCACUGUUUCGGCAAGGGGGUCAUCCCGACUUACCAACCCGAUGCAAACUGCGAAUACCGGAGAAUGUUAUCACGGGAGACACACGGCGGGUGCUAACGUCCGUCGUGAAGAGGGAAACAACCCAGACCGCCAGCUAAGGUCCCAAAGUCAUGGUUAAGUGGGAAACGAUGUGGGAAGGCCCAGACAGCCAGGAUGUUGGCUUAGAAGCAGCCAUCAUUUAAAGAAAGCGUAAUAGCUCACUGGUCGAGUCGGCCUGCGCGGAAGAUGUAACGGGGCUAAACCAUGCACCGAAGCUGCGGCAGCGACGCUGAUGCGUUGUUGGGUA